Molecule: long non-coding RNA, 1312 nt
Filed under: Chrysemys picta bellii (western painted turtle)
Lineage: Eukaryota; Metazoa; Chordata; Testudines; Emydidae
Description: lncRNA (ENSCPBG00000000737.1)
Source: RNAcentral
GCAUGGGAGUCACUCCGGAUUUACGCCGGGAUCACUGAGAUCAGAAUCCAGCCUGGACCCCAUUGCAGCGGAGUCACUCCGGAUUUACGCCGGGAUCACUAAGAUCAGAAUCCAGCCUGGACCCCAUUGCAGCAGAAUCACUCUGGAUUUACACCGGGAUCACUGAGAUCAGAAGCCAGCCUGGACUCCAUUGCAGCAGAAUCACUCCGGAUUUACACCGGGAUCACUGAGAUCAGAAUCCAGCCUGGACUCCAUUGCAGCAGAAUCACUCUGGAUUUACGCCGGGAUCACUGAGAUCAGAAUCCAGCCUGGACCCCAUUGCAGCAGAAUCACUCCGGAUUUACACCGGGAUCACGGAGAUCAGAAGCCAGCGGAGUUCCACCCCCCCGUCAGAGACCCGGAAGUUUUGGGGUGGCGCCAGAUCCCCCCCGGAUUCCUGCCCUCCCGGAUCACGGUCAAGCCCAAACACGGUACCUUUCCCGGCCGCUCCGAUCUUCCGCCUGGCAGACGCCAAACACCAUGUAAUCCCCUGGAACUCAGGAAGGUGAAAAUCCCUCGGCAGGGCAGGAAAAGACCCCGGGUUUUCCUCCGCUGUGUAAAUCCAGCUUUGCGGGGGAGCCGGUUCCAGAGUUCCGAUCCGGAGCGAAACGCCCCGAUCCACCCGGCGGUUCCGAACGAUCCCGGAGCCCGGCUCUGCCCGGAGUCCUUCCGCGCCGGAGUCUCCCCAGCUGCUCCCCUGAGCUCAUCGGGAGUUUAUGCAAAUCCGCAGCCUGGUGCCUUCUCCCGGGGCCGGGAUUCGCUGGCAGAGGCUGGGCAAAAAGCCCAGAAAUCCCCCCCCCUUCCACACACACACCCCGCCUCCCUCAGCUCUGGAAUUAACAUCCCCCCCUCCCAGCUGCUGGCUGCGGGCUUCCCACGAGAGGGCCCCUUGGAGGGGGUGGCUGGGUCUAGGGCGCCUAGGGCAGCUCUGCGGGGGGGUCCCUGGAUUUCCACCAAGCACAGAAAGGAAGGGGGGGGCGGAAUUCCAGCUCCGUUGUCAGAGCGCUGUUUGCAAAAUCCCCACCUGCUGGCUUGGGGAAAAGCAGCAAAGGGGUUUCCUCUCCCUGCUCACCUGCCCAGGGCUAGGAUCAAGUGAGUUUCAAAUCCCCCCUCCAAUGCCAGGAUAAAGAGAGUUUCAAUUCCUCCCACCCCAUGCUAGGAUCAAGUGAGUUUGGGUCCCCCCUGCACCCCGAACCCCACUCCAUGCUGGGAUCAAGUGAAUUUCAAUUCCCCCCUCCCAUUCCAGAAUAAAAUGAGUUUCAAUCCCCCCCCA